GAUGAAGAACGCAGCGAAAUGCGAUACGUAAUGUGAAUUGCAAAUUCAGUGAAUCAUCGAGUCUUUGAACGCACAUUGCGCCCCCUGGUAUUCCGGGGGACAUGCCUGUCCGAGCGUCAUUGCUGCCCUCAAGCACGGCUUGUGUGUUGGGCCCCGUCCUCCGAUCCCGGGGGACGGGCCCGAAAGGAAGCGGCGGCACCGCGUCCGGUCCUCGAGCGUAUGGGGCUUUGUCACCCGCUCUGUAGGCCCGGCCGGCGCUUGCCGAUCAACCCAAAUUUUUAUCCAGGUUGACCUCGGAUCAGGUAGGGAUACCCGCUGAACUUAAGCAUAUCAAUAAGCGGAGGA
Molecule: unclassified non-coding RNA, 345 nt
Filed under: soil metagenome
Description: partial contains 5.8S ribosomal RNA, internal transcribed spacer 2, and large subunit ribosomal RNA
Rfam family: 5.8S ribosomal RNA (bases 1-119)
Source: RNAcentral